This is a long non-coding RNA of Syngnathus typhle (broad-nosed pipefish), 1619 nucleotides long. RefSeq lists it as uncharacterized. The record is from RefSeq and is a predicted model, not a curated record. The transcript has 4 exons. Lineage: Eukaryota; Metazoa; Chordata; Actinopteri; Syngnathiformes; Syngnathidae.
AAAAGCACAUCAUGUUAAAUUCUGACUUGCCUGUUUAGUGUAAAAUCCUGUUUAAAAUGAUUAAAUUAAUAAUAAUAAUAAAUCGUUUAAAAUCGGAUGUGGUGAGGGCACAAACAAUGAACUGUGAUAAAGCAGGCCAGGAUUCUUGUCCUUGCCGUCCUUACAGCAGUCCUGUAUGACAUUUUGAGGUGCAAGUUAAUAGUUAUUGUGGACAAAGCCAAUGAUCCCAAAAGAAACAAGGCUCAAUACUGUAUUUUUAUUCAAAGUGCAGGUGCAUAAUGAAAGAAAAACGUUGAAUUAUUCUCUUAGGCGAGCCAUUGUCAGCGUUGCAACUUGAAUGUCCCUAAGCCCGAACCUCCAAAUGAACUGAGUAAGCCGUAAGGUAAUGGAUGCUGCCUAUUUGCAACGAGAUGAAUGAGCAUAAAAGAAAAGCUGGAUAUUGAAUUGGAAAACUGAUAAAAACUAUGUUCUCAGGUUAAACAACCCUGGGAGCUUGUUUUCAUGGAUGUCAUCGGCCCGCUUUGUGAAACAGACAGAGGAAAUAAGUAUAUUGUGUCCAUGACUGACCUCUACAGCAAAUGGGUUGCUGCCGAAUCCUUGAGUUGUAAGAGUGCAGACCAAAUUGCUGAAGCCAUCGUGACCAAAAUGUAUACAUUUGGCAUCAUUAGGAAAAUCAUUACUAAUUUAUGUGCGGAGAUGGUGAAUGUGGUGAGACAUGCUUCGUUUUCCAUUGACGUCUUUGUUAUUGUUCUUUGUUUGCAUUACACAAGUCCUCCCUGUAACUGCUCUAUCCCCAGAUAAAUGAGUGCAUCUUUGAGACGCUUAAAAUCAAAGAGGUCGUAGUAGCAGAGAAUUACAUCAGGACAAGUGGAAAGGUAGAAAAAAUAAAUCAUAGCGUAAAGCGUGGUUUGAGGAAAUACUUCAAUGAGACAAAUAAUGAUUGGGACCUCCUGCUACUUGCAGUGGUAUACGGUCUGAACACAUCUUUGAAAGCAUCCACGAGACACAGCCCUUUUUUCCUUAUGUUUCACCGGCAUCCUAAUUUACCUGAGGUCAUGAACGCAUGUCCCAUGACCAGUAUUGUGGAGGUUACCGAUCCAGAAGAGGACAUUGACACCAUUGUUCACGAAAAGAUGGAACUGGCUGAAAUUGUUAUAGACAACAUUGAAAAGGACAGACAGAGGAAAUUAUUUGGGACCCAUAAGACACCAUUUGUUCCAAUGUGCUCAGACAAUACUGAAGACAAUGUUUCGGUCCCUGACAACCCAAAGAAGCAACAUUUUAAGGGAAGUCUAUAGUUUAUGGACUAAAGAGAGUGAACCAGAAAAAGGACUGAUUGAUUGUAAAGACUUUGCUACUUUGUCCAACACCGUCACAAUCUCUGUAUCAUGGAUACCCUGCCCCCACCACCACCCCACAUACUGCCCUCAACAAUAAGGGCGCAUAUAAAACAAAACAAGGGUCACCAAAUCUACAGUUUGAUUCAAUUUUCAGUUUUGUGCUCAAAGUUUCCACAAAAAUAAAUGUUCUUUUAUUAGAAAUCAAGGCGUAUAUUCACAGCAUUAUUUUUAAUUACUAUUAUGAAUGAUUGUUUUUCCGUCUAUGGCAGUUGGAUAUAA